GGUAGUGUAGUUAACACCUGCAUUAUUUGACGUUACCUACAGAAGAAGCACCGGCUAACUCCGUGCCAGCAGACCGCGGUAAUACGGAGGGUGCGAGCGUUAAUCGGAAUUACUGGGCGUAAAGCGCAUGCAGGCGGCCUGUUAAGUCAGAUGUGAAAGCCCGGGGGCUUAACCUCGGAAUUGCAUUUGAAACUGGCAGGCUAGAGUCUUGUAGAGGGGGGUAGGAAUUUCAGGUGUAAGCGGUGAAAUGCGUAGAGAUCUGAAGGAAUACCAGUGGCGAAGGCGGCCCCCUGGACAAAGACUGACGCUCAGAUGCGAAAGCGUGGGGAGCAAACAGGAUUAGACUACCCUGGUAG
Molecule: ribosomal RNA, 356 nt
Filed under: uncultured bacterium
Lineage: Bacteria
Description: bacterial SSU rRNA
Rfam family: Bacterial small subunit ribosomal RNA
Source: RNAcentral